This 923-nucleotide ribosomal RNA is filed under the name Staphylococcus aureus. RNAcentral describes it as "partial 23S ribosomal RNA". It matches the Rfam family "Bacterial large subunit ribosomal RNA", at positions 1980 to 2904 of the family's 2925-position model. Lineage: Bacteria; Bacillati; Bacillota; Bacilli; Caryophanales; Staphylococcaceae. The record is from RNAcentral.
GUUCCGACCCGCACGAAAGGCGUAACGAUUUGGGCACUGUCUCAACGAGAGACUCGGUGAAAUCAUAGUACCUGUGAAGAUGCAGGUUACCCGCGACAGGACGGAAAGACCCCGUGGAGCUUUACUGUAGCCUGAUAUUGAAAUUCGGCACAGCUUGUACAGGAUAGGUAGGAGCCUUUGAAACGUGAGCGCUAGCUUACGUGGAGGCGCUGGUGGGAUACUACCCUAGCUGUGUUGGCUUUCUAACCCGCACCACUUAUCGUGGUGGGAGACAGUGUCAGGCGGGCAGUUUGACUGGGGCGGUCGCCUCCUAAAAGGUAACGGAGGCGCUCAAAGGUUCCCUCAGAAUGGUUGGAAAUCAUUCAUAGAGUGUAAAGGCAUAAGGGAGCUUGACUGCGAGACCUACAAGUCGAGCAGGGUCGAAAGACGGACUUAGUGAUCCGGUGGUUCCGCAUGGAAGGGCCAUCGCUCAACGGAUAAAAGCUACCCCGGGGAUAACAGGCUUAUCUCCCCCAAGAGUUCACAUCGACGGGGAGGUUUGGCACCUCGAUGUCGGCUCAUCGCAUCCUGGGGCUGUAGUCGGUCCCAAGGGUUGGGCUGUUCGCCCAUUAAAGCGGUACGCGAGCUGGGUUCAGAACGUCGUGAGACAGUUCGGUCCCUAUCCGUCGUGGGCGUAGGAAAUUUGAGAGGAGCUGUCCUUAGUACGAGAGGACCGGGAUGGACAUACCUCUGGUGUACCAGUUGUCGUGCCAACGGCAUAGCUGGGUAGCUAUGUGUGGACGGGAUAAGUGCUGAAAGCAUCUAAGCAUGAAGCCCCCCUCAAGAUGAGAUUUCCCAACUUCGGUUAUAAGAUCCCUCAAAGAUGAUGAGGUUAAUAGGUUCGAGGUGGAAGCAUGGUGACAUGUGGAGCUGACGAAUACUAA